UGGGGAAUAUUGCACAAUGGGCGCAAGCCUGAUGCAGCCAUGCCGCGUGUGUGAAGAAGGCCUUCGGGUUGUAAAGCACUUUCAGCGGGGAGGAAGGCGAUAAGGUUAAUAACCUUGUCGAUUGACGUUACCCGCAGAAGAAGCACCGGCUAACUCCGUGCCAGCAGCCGCGGUAAUACGGAGGGUGCAAGCGUUAAUCGGAAUUACUGGGCGUAAAGUGCACGCAGGCGGUCUGUCAAGUCGGAUGUGAAAUCCCCGGGCUCAACCUGGGAACUGCAUUCGAAACUGGCAGGCUAGAGUCUUGUAGAGGGGGGUAGAAUUCCAGGUGUAGCGGUGAAAUGCGUAGAGAUCUGGAGGAAUACCGGUGGCGAAGGCGGCCCCCUGGACAAAGACUGACGCUCAGGUGCGAAAGCGUGGGGAGCAAACAGG
This 429-nucleotide ribosomal RNA is filed under the name Chloroflexota bacterium. RNAcentral describes it as "Chloroflexi bacterium partial 16S ribosomal RNA". It matches the Rfam family "Bacterial small subunit ribosomal RNA", at positions 355 to 776 of the family's 1533-position model. The record is from RNAcentral. Lineage: Bacteria; Bacillati; Chloroflexota.